ACUACACAUGACCUUGAGAAAUCUCUUAACAUCUCUGAGCCUCUGGUGAGAAGAAAGCUGGCAGGCCAAGCUGGGAAGCCAAGAAAAGGCUGUUUCUAGUUCCAGUGAAUUUCAAUCCCUGUGCAUCCUGUGGACUGAGGCUCCAAUGCUUCCAAAACUCAAAGCACCUGCCAAAGCCAGCAGGUAGGUGAUUCCCCUCAACACAGCUGACUCAUCAAGCAAACUUCCGAAAGUCCAGGCAGAGCCGGAGGCUGAGGAGAGUAUUUGCACAUACUAUUUUCCUUAUGCCUGUAUUUUACUCUAAUUACUUUUGAUUGAUCCAUUGAUUCUUUUUUUCUUUUUGAGAUGGAGUCUCGCUCUGUCACCCAGGC
RNAcentral lists this long non-coding RNA (371 nucleotides) under Homo sapiens (human). Its description in RNAcentral is "PREDICTED lncRNA (TCONS_00079806)". Lineage: Eukaryota; Metazoa; Chordata; Mammalia; Primates; Hominidae. The record is from RNAcentral.